UUUAGAAAUCUUUGGAUGCUAAGUCCUUUGCCCGCUGUCACACAGGACAUUAGAUGGUCAUCUCCGCACUGUUUUGCAGAUGAAAAGACUGGAAAUAACACCAUGCUGACAGAGUAGAGACGGUCUCUAUCGAUCAGUACAUCUAACAUGAAAAGACACUGUACAAGAUGAAAAGUACUACAUGUUGGACUGAAGACAGAAAGCCUGUUUAUAAGAGGAAUAAACUUUGUCUACAGAUAAUAUAACCAAACUUCUUGAAGAUGAACUCUGCUCAUUCACAGUCACUACCAGCAGUUCCCAUUUGCUUUGAGUUCUACUUUCAGUUCUGCUGUUGAGGAAACUGUUAGAGAGAUGAGCAAGCACCUCCUUGGGCUCCCUAGUAGGCAGUGGUAGGAAGAUGCUCUGCUGCUGCAGUCAGUGCUUCUGUAGCAUCACCCCUGACAGUGUGCUACUGUUGCCAUGAAGGGAUGCCAGCUUCAGCUGAAGGCACUUGUUUCCACUCUGGAUGAUGAUCUUUAGCUUCUAUGAAGUGUACAAAUAACAGCGCUUCUCAUCUAGCACUACUGAAUGGCAGAUAGCACUGAACAACCCUGUAUGUAUCAUCAUAUUUGACCAAGGAGAAACUGAUGAAUUUUCACUGUGUUCAACAAGCUAUGAAAUAUCUAGUCCAGCGCCAGUGAAACCGGAACGCUGCAGCAUCAUAAAUUAUCACUAUAGCACACAGGCUAUUAACCUUCCAAAACAUUCACCUCGGAGGCUAAACUUCGCAGUACUUCAGCUUCAAUUCUGAGAAACGUCUCUUUUCCACAACAACAUGAUAAGUGAGAGUGAAUGAAGUCCCUUGCGCAACAAAUGCAGGUUUGAGGAAUACCUCUUCAUCCAUCUUUAAAUAAUAAGAGAAUGGCAAUAAGAGACGUGAUCUGACUGAACUUCUCUCUAUGAAAGCAUUUUAAAAUAUGGCACUUUACCCAUGGUAUUUUCAGAGGACAUGCAAAAUGCAGCAGAAAUUUGGAAGAAUUGAAUACUGACAUCUCUAACAGAAACCAGUAGGUCUGCAAAGACUCGUAGUGUCCUUAACCUGAAAAAAAAAAAACACAAAACAAAACAAAACAAAAAACAAAGAACCCUAGAUUUCUUGUGUGAGCGGAGGGGGGAGGGGAAGGGGAGGAAGGAAUUAUAGAGAAUGACUUAGGUUGGAAGGGAUGUUAAAGAUGAUUGAGUUCCAGCCCCACUACCAUGAGCAGGGUUGCCACCCACAUGAUCAGGCUGCCCAGGACCCCAUCCAACCUGGCCUUGUAUGCCCCCAGCUGACAACAGGAUCACCUAAAAAAGCAGUUUUUCUCUGUUAGUUGAUAGGGCAGGUGGAAAGGAUUUUUUACAAAGUAGUUGAUCUGAUUAUUAAACUACUGCUACUUCAGGAGCUUAAAGUGAGCGUAUCCCAGGCAAACUUCGAGGGAGGAGCUUUGUCAUAGACAGGGGGAUAUGCGUAUAUAUACACUACAUCUGGAUUAAACAAGAUGAUGCGUACGUCUAUAAGGUAUUGCUGAAAACUGUUAUAGAAAAAGGUAAUAGCUAAGUACUCAAUACCUAAUUUUCAUUCCCAAUAAUGUUUAGAAAAAAAAGAUGUAGCUGAAGAUGAAAUACACUCUGUAUUUCUAAAAUGGGCAAUUAUAACCAGAAAAAUGAAGUGAUUAGUCAGAAAUACUUCCUACAAUGGAAGGAGGAAAUAAAAGUGAAAUUAGCUGCUAAAGGGAUGAAAGUGCCUUCAACAAUAAUUCACCAUUCAGUCAGUGGUAAAGAGAGCUUAGUGGUCCGAAUAACAGAUUUUGAAAUAUUUAAUCUUCAGGAUCCAUGGAUUUAUAGAAUAGAAAUCUUGACUGUUUUCUUAAAUUAAAUUGAUUGAGCUCUGUGCAUUGUAUUACAUGGUUUUAUACUGAUUAGAUUUAAAACUAAAUGUCCUUCUGCCCAAGAGAUAUUUCAAAAUUCAAAAUUGCAUCAUCAUCAUCAUCAUCAUUUUAAUAUCAUGGGUUUAUGUCCGGGACACUGCAGCAUUUUUUCUUCAUCCACAGUAGCUCAGAAACCAGCAUGCCAGUUGGCUGCCACCUUCCACUUGAAAAGCUGCUGUGGUUCAGUGUGACUACAUGGGAACAUUCAUAAUACACUAAUCACAGUGGUAUCUGUGUACUGUAUAAUCUUUGAAGUGCUUGAGAAUGAAUGGCUUAUAUGUAUGUAGAAUAUUAUUACUGUAUGCUUAAUUGGGACAUGCUGAAUAGAGAUAGCUGCAUUAUUGGAUCGAUUUCCUUGGAAACUGAUGACAGAGUAUAGUAAUAACUGUUCAUUAAUGAACACAGUAUUGGCGUAUGUUCUGCUUAAGAGGCCUGAUUUAGAUUCUUCCAAAUAAAGUGUUGUUUAGCCAGGUGACAAAUGCAUGUGAAAUACUGAACUGUUUUGUUUGUUUGUUUGUUUGUUUGUUUGUUUGUUUUAAUGUGCAAGUUGCCAGACCAAGAUGAAGAGAUGUAUUCUCCUGGAUUCUUGGGUGGCUCAACUUAGGCUGGCUGAGUUCAGUGCAUCGGCUGAGGACAGGGCAGCCUGCCAGCAGAGCUUCACUUUCUUUGGAUGUGGCACUGAAAUGCUGCUGGCAACAGUAGUUCUCUCUUGGCAUUUCUUAGCUCAUCAUAGGACUAUUUGCAAGCUGCUACCAAGUCCCACAUCAACACACACUACUUUCUUGAAAAUGGCUGCCAAAUUGUGAAGGUUUUGCACAGCCAUCCCAAAACCUAGGCUGGCAUCUGCAGACUCAUGGGAGGUGUCAGUGGCACUGAUGACCCCAAAGAGAGAAGAAUUCCCCCGCAGACUUUGUUCUUUUGCCCGUGUGUGUUUGGAUCUCCAGAGCAUGGAGGACUUGGAAAAGCAAAGACAGUCUGACCUUCUUUACGGUCUCCCUUCAUUCUUCCAUGCCUGUCUUCAUGAAGGUCAAGUGUUUUCUGCCUUCUCAAAUGCAAAAAUAAAACUCAUGCCUCUUGCCUCCGUGGAAGCAAUGUUGCUCUCUAACAGCAACUGAAAACUCAGAGAGUGUGUUGUUGUAGUAAGGAGUCUCCGCCCUGAAAAUACUGUGAAGGAAUGACCUGCAUUAUAUUUAAGAAGCAGCCCACUUUCAAAGACAGAAUAUUAGGUGAGAUGGACCACACUUCUGCUUUGGAACAGCAAACUCAGUGCUCACAGAAAAGUGCUAGUAUUGCGGGACCUUGCUCUGAUUCACCUGUGGGUGCUGAGGGACCUGGGAGUUUUUGCUAGGACACUCUCCAUUAUCUCUGGGAAGUUGUGGGGAACAGGAGAGGUUGCCUAAGGACUGGGGGAACGCAAAUGUCACCCCAGUCAUCAGGAAAAGCAAGAAGGAAGACCUCAGUUUCACACUGAGUUUUUGAAGAAGGAUUCCCAGUUUUGCAG
Tympanuchus pallidicinctus (lesser prairie-chicken) is the source of this 3447-nucleotide long non-coding RNA. RefSeq lists it as uncharacterized. The transcript has 12 exons. The record is from RefSeq and is a predicted model, not a curated record. NCBI's taxonomy places the organism in Eukaryota, Metazoa, Chordata, Aves, Galliformes, Phasianidae.